ACAUGGGUCCUGUGCGGCGGAACGCCGUGAACCAUGUCAGGCGGGGAACCGAGCAGCAUUCAGCGGGCAGUCCCGCGCGCCACAGUCCGCCUGUGUGCC
Molecule: signal recognition particle RNA, 99 nt
Filed under: Oscillospiraceae bacterium
Lineage: Bacteria; Bacillati; Bacillota; Clostridia; Eubacteriales; Oscillospiraceae
Description: signal recognition particle sRNA small type
Rfam family: Bacterial small signal recognition particle RNA
About the family: The signal recognition particle (SRP) is a universally conserved ribonucleoprotein involved in the co-translational targeting of proteins to membranes. Archaeal SRP consists of a 7S RNA and homologues of the eukaryotic SRP19 and SRP54 proteins.
Source: RNAcentral